AGGAUCAUUGUCGAAAUAUGCAAAGCAGAAUGACCUGCGAACAAGUGAAAAACAGUGGUAACUUGGUCAUUGGACGUGGUUCGGCCUUGCGCCCCCCGUUUCUCAUGGUCCGAAUCCAACACACCUCAGCGCGGAAUGCGCCAAGGAAAACAAACAGAAUGUGUACGAUGCCCCCUGCACCGUAAAUGGUUGCUUGUGGCUUGCGUAUUUCGCUUACUUUAAUGUUACAACGACUCUCGGCAACGGAUAUCUUGGCUCUCGCAUCGAUGAAGAACGUAGCAAAAUGCGAUAGCUGGUGUGAAUUGCAGAAUCCCGUGAACCAUCGAGUCUUUGAACGCAAGUUGCGCCUGAAGCCGUCAGGCCAAGGGCACGCCUGCCUGGGUGUCACCCUCCCCCUUGCCCAAAUACUCCUCUUACGGAAAAAUGGGAAGAGUCAUUUGGGCGGAUAAAUGGCCUCCCAUGGCGAAUAUGUCUCGUGGUUGGCCCAAAAUUAGCACUUGGCUCUUAGGAAGCAUUCGACAAGCAUUGGCGAAAAACUCCGGUGAUUCCUUGAUCGUUGUUGUCGUGCUAGACUUUGUAGCGUGCUAGAAAAAAAAACCUCGGUGCUUGCAUCCUUAGAUUGCGACCCCAG
Molecule: ribosomal RNA, 631 nt
Filed under: Parnassia yunnanensis
Lineage: Eukaryota; Viridiplantae; Streptophyta; Magnoliopsida; Celastrales; Celastraceae
Description: eukaryotic LSU rRNA
Rfam family: 5.8S ribosomal RNA (bases 232-387)
Source: RNAcentral